AACGAGGUGCUUUUGUAGCAAUACGAGAGUAUCCUAGUGGCGAACGGGUGAGUAACGCGUUGGUGACCUACCCCAAAGUGUGGAAUAACAGUCCGAAAGGAUUGCUAAUACCGCAUGUGGUUAUCGGGCUUAGAAUCUGAUAACUAAAGGAGCAAUUCGCUUUGGGAGGGACCUGCGUCCCAUCAGCUAGUUGGUGAGGUAAUGGCUCACCAAGGCUACGACGGGUAGGGGACCUGAGAGGGUGACCCCCCACAAUGGAACUGAAACACGGUCCAUACACCUACGGGUGGCAGCAGUAGGGAAUAUUGCACAAUGGGCGAAAGCCUGAUGCAGCAACGCCGCGUGUGCGAUGAAGGCCUUCGGGUCGUAAAGCACUUUUCUGAGAGAUGAGAAAGGACAGUAUCUCAGGAAUAAGUCUCGGCUAACUACGUGCCAGCAGCCGCGGUAAAACGUAGGAGGCGAGCGUUAUCCGGAUUCACUGGGCGUAAAGCGCGUGCAGGUGGUUCGGUAAGUUGGGCGUGAAAUCU
This 527-nucleotide ribosomal RNA is filed under the name uncultured soil bacterium. Its description in RNAcentral is "bacterial SSU rRNA". It matches the Rfam family "Bacterial small subunit ribosomal RNA", at positions 65 to 602 of the family's 1533-position model. The record is from RNAcentral.